Molecule: non-coding RNA, 296 nt
Organism: Rhizobium yanglingense
Lineage: Bacteria; Pseudomonadati; Pseudomonadota; Alphaproteobacteria; Hyphomicrobiales; Rhizobiaceae
Source: Rfam
CAACAUGAGAGUUUGAUCCUGGCUCAGAACGAACGCUGGCGGCAGGCUUAACACAUGCAAGUCGAGCGCCCCGCAAGGGGAGCGGCAGACGGGUGAGUAACGCGUGGGAACGUACCCUUUACUACGGAAUAACGCAGGGAAACUUGUGCUAAUACCGUAUGUGCCCUUCGGGGGAAAGAUUUAUCGGUAAGGGAUCGGCCCGCGUUGGAUUAGCUAGUUGGUGGGGUAAAGGCCUACCAAGGCGACGAUCCAUAGCUGGUCUGAGAGGAUGAUCAGCCACAUUGGGACUGAGACAC